RNAcentral lists this transfer RNA (77 nucleotides) under Legionella sp. RNAcentral describes it as "tRNA-Arg". It matches the Rfam family "tRNA". From Rfam's summary of the family: Transfer RNA (tRNA) molecules are approximately 80 nucleotides in length. Lineage: Bacteria; Pseudomonadati; Pseudomonadota; Gammaproteobacteria; Legionellales; Legionellaceae. The record is from RNAcentral.
GGCUCCAUAGCUCAACUGGAUAGAGUAUCCGCCUUCUAAGCGGAUUGUUGCAGGUUCGAGUCCUGCUGGAGUCGCCA